GCGGAAAUAGCUCAGGGGUAGAGCACAACCUUGCCAAGGUUGGGGUCGCGAGUUCGAAUCUCGUUUCCCGCUCCA
RNAcentral lists this transfer RNA (75 nucleotides) under Campylobacter coli. RNAcentral's name for it is "tRNA-Gly". It matches the Rfam family "tRNA". Rfam says of the family: Transfer RNA (tRNA) molecules are approximately 80 nucleotides in length. Their secondary structure includes four short double-helical elements and three loops (D, anti-codon, and T loops). Further hydrogen bonds mediate the characteristic L-shaped molecular structure. tRNAs have two regions of fundamental functional importance: the anti-codon, which is responsible for specific mRNA codon recognition, and the 3' end, to which the tRNAs corresponding amino acid is attached (by aminoacyl-tRNA synthetases). tRNAs cope with the degeneracy of the genetic code in two manners: having more than one tRNA (with a specific anti-codon) for a particular amino acid; and 'wobble' base-pairing, i.e. permitting non-standard base-pairing at the 3rd anti-codon position. Lineage: Bacteria; Pseudomonadati; Campylobacterota; Epsilonproteobacteria; Campylobacterales; Campylobacteraceae. The record is from RNAcentral.